Molecule: long non-coding RNA, 4040 nt
Organism: Monodelphis domestica (gray short-tailed opossum)
Lineage: Eukaryota; Metazoa; Chordata; Mammalia; Didelphimorphia; Didelphidae
Source: RefSeq, a predicted model, not a curated record
AUCGUGGGGCCACUUCCCGGUCUGGCUCAGAUGGGGAGGGGGGACAAGGCCCAGGGGGCCUCCCUCAUCAGCCACCUUCUCCCUGAGAUGAGAAAACGAAGACCUUGAGAUACGGGGAUUUGCCAAGAGCCACCCAUGCCCCCCCUCCGCUCCCCCUGUCCCCAGUGCCACCCCCACCUCCAGACACAUUGUCCCCCACACAGACAUGAGGGCCUGGGGGCCUGAAGAGGCAUCAGGAAUGUGAACGAGAGCACCGGUGUGACCCUAUUCCCUGCUUGCCAAGUCGCCCCCAAAGCGGCUGCUCGGCCUGGGGACAGGCUCCUCCCUGGGGUAGCUGCUGUCCCCCAAGUGCGCAGAGACGGUGAGCCUGGCACACUCGAGGGGGAGGCUCCAGGAGACAUCCCCCCCCUCUGCCACGAGUCCUUGAUGGCGCCCAGGAUCUGCUCUUUUUACCCUCAUCCCUCUGGGCCUUAGUUUCUGCAUUCGGAGACACGGUCCCCUGGCACAGGAAUUCUACUGGGUUCUGUCCCAGGGAGGCCUCUCUGACUCUCAUAAGCUUGCAGCCUUCGAGCCGGCAGUGGGGGAGAGUCCUUGAGAGCAGCAUUCUGACCCCCUUCUUUUACAGUGAGGAAACUGAGGCAUAGCACUGGAGUGCGGUGACUGGCCCAAAGAGCAGAGGUGCUUCCAGGCCUGCGUGGGGCAGAGACGUGGAGGGAGCCCAUGAAAGCCCAUUCCGAACACUCAUUUCUAAGAACUGGAGAGCGAGAGCCCAAGGAAGAGAUGGCCGGGGGAAGCCCAUCCCCCAGAUCCUGGGUCUGGCAGGGCACCACCAGGGAGGGGGUGCCCCUAGAGCAGCUCCCAGGCUGUCUUCAGGAAGCAAGUUCUUGGCCUUCCCGCAGACUUGUGGGUGCCUGGGCUCUGCCUCUGCUCACGUACCUCUCCCGCUCCAGGCCUUUCUCCACCUCCGUGGCUGGACGAUCGCUGCUCUGUGGUGAGACCUAGAGGAACCCAAACGAGGCAGCUAGAGUCUGCUACAUUUUGGCAAGCCUGUCUUAAGAUCAGCCCCGCCCCCUCCCCAGAGCUCUGUGGCCACCCUGCCUGGAGCCUGCUGACCUCUCCCUGGAUGGCACAGGCCAUUCCCACUCCACUACCAAAGCGAGUCGUCCAGAGCCGUCUCUACGAUGUAAGCUCCUUGAGAGCAGUGAUGGCUACGCUUUGGUUUUCCUCAUCUCUUGGGCCUCGUACACAGCGGGAGUCACUGACAAGAGCCUGCAAACUCGGUGAAAGAGCUGGGAAGCCAGGAUUUUCAGCAACAGUUGGACUCCAGACCUAAAUGGAUCUCAACAGGCCUUGACAAAGCAGGAAAGAACUGAAGAGGGGUGUCAAAAAUAGCUCCUUCCAAGCUCUGGAGAGCCAUUCUCUCCUCCUUCACUGGCUUCACACUUUGCACAGGCUCUGGGCCCGUGUGCCUGAGCCCUCCCUCACCAGGAUCUGCCCAGGGAUGAGGAAGGACGUGCUUCUUCAUCCUUUCUCUGGGACAAAUGAAGAGCAAUGGCUUCUGAUCCAGGAAGUAUCAGCGGGCAGUGUUGUCAAGCAACAGGGAAGAGCUUCUUCCUCAGCUUCCUGGAAUUUGCAGUAUUUAAAUUGUGGAAAAGAAUGGCAGCCUGAGGUCCCUUUUCCAUUUAUUCUGGCUGAACCUAAAGAAUUUCCAUGUAGGAGCUUAUGCAGGGCACUUCACAGAGAAAUAAACCACCAAGGUAUGCUCUCAGGAAGCUUAGAGUCUAAUGGCAGGGGAAAGAUGAGCACAUAAAUGCCUGAAAGAAAAGGGGUGCUGUGUUAAGUGCAAAGGAAACCCAGGAAAAGUGCUGGGAGAAAUGGAAGAGGGGAAGAGGCAAGGAAGGGAAGGCUCCCAAGAGGAGGUUUCAUUUGAGACUUUAAGAAAUGCUUACCUUUGGUUUUUUGCAAUUUGGUAGAUCAGGACUCUUGAGUUGCUCCUGACCACUUUCACAAAGAGCUAAAGUGAAAGCUCGUUUUUUGGAGACAGUUGGACCUUUGUGGGGUAAGCCAGAGGGAGACAGAAGCUGUCUCCAAGCAGCCCCCAGUUUCUUGGUGACCAUUCUGGGCUUCGUCUCAUGGUCUCCUCUGGUCUGCUCUUUUUUCCACUGGAGGGCUUUCUCCGCAUUGGUGAACAUUUGGCAGGUGAGAAGAGAGAGCUCACACCAUCCCAUUUUGGCACAGGAGACCUUCAGAUAUUCAAUGGUCUUCAUGACUCUCAUGACAUGGGCCAUCUUCCCCAGAUCUUUCUGGGAAGCCAAAGUGAGGUUUUUCAACAAUACAGCAAACAACUCGUAAUUGUGCUCGAGUUCAGAAAGGGUCGUGCCAUAAUUUACAGUCAAGGUAUAAGGCACCAGGUCCACAUAUGUGGCCAUGGGUAGGGUGGCCUGUUCCAGGAAUGUCCUUAUUUCAGAGAGUUCCAAGAGUUCUCUGGUCAGUAGCUGGAGUGCAUAAGAGGAAUUGGUCCCUUCAGGGUACUCACAGAUGACAGCCACCUCGCUUUUCAGUUCCAAUAUGGCCGAUUCCACGGCUUCCCAUAGGCAGCCUGCUGCAUUUUCUUUGAGAAACAAGAAGGAAGCUAUUUUUUCUUGGUUUUCUAUCAACUCAGAAAGGAGAGACAAAUCAAACCACAACAUCCCCCGAAACCUUGGUUUGUCCAGUUUUUUGGCCAUGACAUUUUUCAGGAAGUGAAUUGUUUCAGAGAGCAUAACCACUUCGAUGUACAUCUCAACAGCUUCAGGUUUCAGGAUGACUGACUCUUGGCGAUGCUUCUUGACCAGGUCUAACACGUUGUCUUCUGUGAUCAAGACACUAUCCACAGCGGCCUCCUGCAGAAUCUGGAAGCAUUUCUUUAAGGUCUCUAAAUGGCCCGUGCAUCUUGCUGUCAGUUCCUGUAAUUGUUUCAGGUCAGCAGAUCCUGCUUGGUUUAUUAUUUCUCCAACUUGGCACAUAUCUGAGAGAGGAAAAAGAGUAUCACUAAACCUGAAAUUUUCCCAGCUAGGCUUAUCCUCUCCAUCUAUGCAGUCACAGUGCUUACUGGGAGUAUCAACAGUUUCCUCAAGCAAACCCAUGGAAGCACAUUCUGCUUUGCUGUUAGCCUCCACAGUCUCAUAGAUCUGCUGAAGCUUGUUAAGGGCACACUCAUUAAAUCUGAGUAGUUCUUCCUUCCUCUUCUCAGGAGAGUCUUUUUUGAUAACUGAUAGGCCCCUCUCUUUCCAAACGAGACUUUUAGCAGCAUCAAAAAAGAUGUGUUCCAGGCCAUAGAGAGAUAUCUUCAUGCCAACAGAUUCAGAGUUUUUUAUAAAGUGCAUCUUGGAAGAGAUCAUUUCCAUGAUGAUCCAGAGAUGAUCCUGCUUCCCAGAACAAGACUGAACUCUAAGGAAAUGAUCCUGGUUACUGAUGAGUUCCAAAGUGCUUUUUCUUAAACUUUCUAGAUCUUCUAAAUUAUCUCCAAAAUUAACCCCACAGGUGAACGGUGCAGAAAGAGAGAAAUUGAAGUUAGAGCUGUGUUUCAUGACAUCUUCACACUCUUUAAUCUGCCUUUUGUAUUUUAAGAUGACAUAGUAGGAUUUGUUCUUAUUCUUGGCCACUUCUAAGAGUUUGAUCAGUUGGUCAUGGUAGUGCUGUAAUUCGCUGAAGGCGUUGUACCUAAGUCGGUCUUGAAAAGCAGGGUAGAGGCAGGCCUGCUGCUGGUAGCCCUGAUUCCCACGGAGCAGCUCCCCAUACAGGGAAGCAUCAUACCACAGCAGACUUCGGAAGGUGGGCUUACUGCCCAACAGACCUUUCUUGUUCUCAAUGAACUGUAUGGUUUCCAUCAUCAUUUGGAGUUCUACCAGGGAAUCUACCGCUUGUGGGUGGAGGUGGUGUUUACAAUUAUUCCAACCAUUCCCUUCUACCAGCAGCUCCCGAGAAAUCAGUAUAUGUUUAAAGGAACAUUUUUGUUUUCUUUCAAAAGCUUCAAUGAAUAAAGGAAGAACUGCUUGACA